GGCCGCUUUGAGCAAAUCAGUCCGGAAGAAUGGCGAGCUCUGCCCGCCUCGGCCAUCGAUCCCGUGAGCCACAACCAACAUGGAUUGCGGUUGCACAACUGUUCCUCUUCCUCCUCUCCGUGGUCCUCUCUGCGCCCUCGCCUGCUCUCUCCGCUUCCACCGUCACCCACCUGCCCGGAUUCCGCGGCCCCCUUCCCUUCCAUUUGGAGACAGGGUACGUGGAAGUGGACGAGGUGAACGGCGCGGAGCUCUUCUACUACUUCAUCCCGUCGGAGGGCCGGCCGAGCGAGGACCCCCUCCUCCUUUGGCUCAACGGCGGUCCCAGGUGCUCUGCCCUGAGUGGAUUGGUCUUCGAAGUUGGUCCUCUGAAGUUUGUACCUGCGGAGUACAAUGGAAGCUUGCCAAACUUGGUAUAUCAUCCGUAUUCUUGGACAAAGGUUGCCAACAUGAUCUUUCUAGACUCUCCGGUUGGGUCAGGGUUCUCAUUUUCACGUCGUUACGAAGGUUAUAAUGCCAAUGACAUGUCUUGGUCGGAACAUGUUUAUAAGUUUCUCAUAAAGUGGUUUAUUGAUCACCCACAGUUCCUCUCCAACCCUCUCUACAUAUCCGGAGAUUCAUAUGGUGGAAAGAUUGUUCCCAUCGUCACUCACCUCGUAUCCGAAGGUACCAAAGUUGGAAACAAGCAACUAAAUCUUAAGGGUUACCUAAUUGGCAACCCAGUCACAGGUGAAAAUUUUGAUGAGAAUUCUCGAGUGCCUUAUGCUCAUGGUGUGGGAAUUAUAUCAGAUGGUGUCUUUGAGAUGAUACAAAGAAGUUGCAAAGGGCAAGACCAUCGAAAUCCAACCACUGUGCAAUGUGCAUCGUGUCUUGAGACUUUUGAGAACUUUUGUUCAGAGAUCUAUGAGAAUCAUAUUUUGGAACCAAAAUGUGCUUUGGCAUCACCGAAGCCAAAGGAUAUGAUUCUAGAUAGAAGAUCCCUGAAGGAGAAUAUGGAUCUACUUAAGCCACCACCUGUUCCUGAGCUAAACUGCAGAGGUUAUGCUUAUUUUCUGUCCUACUAUUGGGCAAAUAGCAAUGCUGUGAGACAGGCUCUCCAUAUCAAGAAGGGAACAGUCGAAGAAUGGCAGAGGUGCAACAGUGAUUUGCCAUAUGCAAAGGGACUCAAAAGUAACUUAGAGUAUCAUCUCAACCUUACAACCAGAGGCUUCCGUGCUUUGGUGUACAGCGGUGAUCACGACCUCUACAUACCAUUUGUGGGCACAAAGGCAUGGAUAAAAUCUCUCAACUUCUCGCUUGUGGAUGAUUGGAGAUCUUGGCAUGUAGAAGGCCAAGUUGCUGGGUGAGCUUUGUGACAGUGUCAAAGAUUGGUUCAAAGAUUUCUCCUAUAACAAUACCGCAACAUUCUCAUUCUGAUUACCAUGAUCUUUGUUUACUAGGGUGGUGGUCACACAGCUCCAGAGUACAGGCCAAAGCAAUGCUUGGCUAUGAUUCAAAGGUGGAUCUUUCAUGAACCUCUAUGAACUCCUCUCUUUUCCUUCCAUUGGUUCUACUUAGAGCUUAUUGCAUCAUGGAGUUACACACCUUGGAACCAUAUAUGGGAUAUCCAACAUAUACAUAUGUACACCACUAUGAAUCUGUAUGUUGCAGCUCACAUACAUGUAGAACUUCACAUCCUGUGCCUUCGACACAGUAAUUCAUCACAUGCACCUGCAAUUAUUGUCUUGUGAUAUUGUAAGAAUUUGCUAGAGAAACUCCCAAAUAUGUCUCUACUUGGACCAUUCUCUACCAAUUUGGGAUAUUUAAGCUACUACUAUUGCUAUCCAAAAACAAGAACUUUGUUACUCUUA
RNA transcript from Musa acuminata AAA Group (dessert banana), 1847 nucleotides. It is a transcript of the gene named serine carboxypeptidase-like 18, with no coding region annotated. The transcript is spliced from 13 exons. The record is from RefSeq and is a predicted model, not a curated record. Lineage: Eukaryota; Viridiplantae; Streptophyta; Magnoliopsida; Zingiberales; Musaceae.